Molecule: long non-coding RNA, 523 nt
Filed under: Fukomys damarensis (Damara mole-rat)
Lineage: Eukaryota; Metazoa; Chordata; Mammalia; Rodentia; Bathyergidae
Description: lncRNA (ENSFDAG00000023336.1)
Source: RNAcentral
CUUUUCCCAGCUCUCACUAGGCAGGGUGGGAGCACUCCUGACAGCUUCAGGGUCUGCAGACCGUCCUCUCGUUCGGUCCAGCGUGUUCUCUGCAAGCUCAGAGCGUCUCGCUUCCCCAGUGCUGACCCAGGAUGAGUACAGAACAGGCGGGGACUCUGCCUUUGUGGGUGCUGUUAGCGCUCAGUCAAGGUAUUAUAAAUUGUUGUUUGGCAUACAAUGUUGGCCUCCCGGAAGCAAAAAUAUUUUCCGGUCCUUCAAGUGAACAGUUUGGCUAUUCAGUGCAGCAAUUUAUAAAUCCAAAAGGCAACUGGUUACUGGUCGGUUCACCUUGGAGUGGCUUUCCAGAGAACCGAAUGGGAGAUGUAUAUAAAUGCCCUGUUGACCUGUCCACUGCUACAUGUGAAAAACUGAAUUUGCAAACUUUAACCAGCAUCCAAAAUGUGACUGAGGUGAAAACUAACAUGAGUCUCGGCUUGACUCUCACAAGGAAUAUGGGAACUGGAGGGUUUCUGGUGAGUGUAUG